This 253-nucleotide ribosomal RNA is filed under the name uncultured bacterium. RNAcentral's name for it is "partial 16S ribosomal RNA". It matches the Rfam family "Bacterial small subunit ribosomal RNA", at positions 524 to 776 of the family's 1533-position model. The record is from RNAcentral.
UACGGGGGGGGCAAGCGUUGUUCGGAAUUACUGGGCGUAAAGGGCUCGUAGGCGGCCAACUAAGUCAGACGUGAAAUCCCUCGGCUUAACCGGGGAACUGCGUCUGAUACUGGAUGGCUUGAGGUUGGGAGAGGGAUGCGGAAUUCCAGGUGUAGCGGUGAAAUGCGUAGAUAUCUGGAGGAACACCGGUGGCGAAGGCAGUCACCUGGCAUCAUACUGACGCUGAGGCGCGAAAGCGUGGGGAGCAAACAGG